UUUUUGGCUUUUUCUUUUUAAUUCAAAGGAGGCCUAACAAGCUAAAUAACAAUUGGUAAGCUACACAAAAGGAGGUAACCCUCUCUUUUAACAACUCUCACCAAUGUGUAUUUCAUUUCAAUAAAAUUGUAUUAACCAUGUCAUUCCAUGUCAUUUAAUUCUCAUUCCCAACCAUUUUGGAAUGUCAGUUUUAACAUCUUGGUAAAUUGUGGAACUUAGCAAAUUCCACUAUAUGGUCAGAUUAUAAAUGUCACAAAUUGCAGGUUUUAUCAAUGAUAGCACACAGGUAUUACCAAGUUAAACUCUAAUGCAUAUUAAGUGCACUAAUGGAGUAUUUUCAAGAAUAACAAAACAAAUAAGAGUAAGUAAAUCUUCACUGAAACCAUACAAAUCUCAGCUCAAUUUAACCAAGCAAAGUUCUACUAAAUGCAUUGUAACAUAGAGAACUAUGAUAUUUCAAUUGUUCAAAGUAAACUCAAGAGCACAUUAGUGCCAACCAAUAUCAUUUAGAUGAUAAUUGACACAAGACUAGCUGCUUUUUGUGACUCAUGACUGGUGGCGCAAGAUGCUUUUGGAAUUCACAUCUUCAUUUCAUAAAGCAGGUUUGGCCUACUUUUCAGAAGAGCCUCAAUUUGUUGCUUUUCUCAAAAGCAAGUAAGAAGGCAAUUUCGCAUCCCCCACAAAAAAUUUAAAAAUUAAAAUAAAAAGACAGGUGGAAUUACAAUGCCAAACAGAUCUGAAUAUUUUAAAGGCAUGCCCAUGAGUCAGCUUUUCUAGAGACAUUGGCCCAAAGCCAUGCUCCAUGUCUCACAGACAAGACUCCUUCAUUACACAAUUUUUGUCCAGAUCAUAGGUCAGUAAGCAUGUGAUUUGAGUGUUAGCUUUAGCUACAAUCUGCCAAAAGAUUUUUGAAUCUACGUUAAGGAGAUCCAAAAUGCAUUGAGAUGAAAUUGAUGCACUAACUACAAACAUUUUUUGAGCUAAUUAAGGAAAAUAAGAAACAGUGAAAAUAGAAUUGAAUAGAAAAUAUAAAAAGCCAAAAGUCAUAUAAGGAAGACACAGGGGGAGAUGCUGAUGAUCAUAAAGCAAACAAAACAAAUGUCAGCAGACAAUAAACCACCAUAUAACAGACACACCGCUUGUACUUCAACGCAUGUAUGUAGUUGUGGGUAUUACAAAACCCUGAGAAUGACAGAAACAUAUAUUUCAAAUAAAAGUGAAGCAAAUGGGAAGUUUGGAAAAACGGAAUCCAUGAAAGUUUCAUGUUCUAAAUUCUUUUAUAUUCACUUCAAUCAUUAUAAAUUAAAAAUAUAAAAGCAAGAAUAAGAUUAAAAGCAGCCACAGGUCUUGAGAAUACUGGCUGCAGUUCAUGGGGCAUCUCACAUUUUACAAAGAAACAAAUUCCAUUGAUUGAGUGGCCCAACAUAGUGAUGUAUCAAUUUGUCUUUUUAACAAAUAAGAUUGUUAGACAUCUCACAUGGAUCAAUUGCCUUGGCAGAAUCUCAGCCAAAGAUAACUACAGGAUCAGUGUGCAUUAAAUAAAGUUGCCUAUUAUCAAUCAACCAAUAUUACUGGCAAUUUGAGUGGCCAUGUAUGCAUUUCUCAAAAGGAGGUUCCACUCAAUUACAAAUGCGAUGUGUAAGGAUAAUCUUGCAAGUUCACCAGAGCCAAAAUCAUUUUUUUAUUGUUUCUCUGUUCUUAAUGCCCAUAAAUCCUACUGAUAUAUUAUAGGUAUGCCCAAUUCAUUUCUUACCCCCUCCAGGAAAUUUAAGAUGUCUAAUUCAUCUGAAGUAAUAGGCAGACAAGAAAUGAAACUCUGAAACAUAGGAGAAAGAAAUGAAUAAGAUGAUUCUUUAUAGUUCAGAGAUUUUGUAAAUGAACUAAAAAUGUCAUCCUCAACCAAAGAUGUUGAGGGUCUUCUCACAAUAAAGGGUGAUACCUCCCAGUCGCGUAACAUGAAAGUUUCAAAACUAUCCUCACUCAAACCAAAAAUCCUUCUUUUGACCAAAAGAGAUGGCAAGGGAGCAAAUUGAUUGACAUUACUUGAAAGCCUAAAAAUGCUUUCUGCGAGAUUGUUAAUCGUAAUAUUGCUUAUACAUAAUUUUCUCUCCGGAAUAAAUAUCAAAGGGUUACCAAGUAACAUUUGACUAUGUACUUUUGUCCACAGCCUUUUCAAAAAUGCCAAGAAAGUUUCAGACAGAUUCCUUGGGACCUUUUCCAAUCGCUCAAGGUUGCAGGUGUUAAUUAGAGAUAUUGCAGCAUGGAGAAUUGAUAGUAUAUGUGUAUCUUCUUUAAAUGCUAUCUUGACACAAGCUACACUUCUGUUGUCCUCAUUGCACAAAAAAAUCAAUGUUGAAGAAAACCGAACCUGAAGAAAUUUAAUCAUAAGCUUCUCUAGAGCAGAGAACUCCAAUAAACGCAGCGUUCCAACGGUAGUGGUGGACAAAUCCAAAAGAGCAUUACAUGCAGCCACUGAAACUUUCCUACUGGAACUCCCUAAAGCCAAGAUUAAAACCUUCACAAUUUCGCUAUCUAAAGCAAUUCGCUCAUUCAUUUCUAAGGACAAUAGCGAAGUGGCCCCCAAAAUCUUUGCGCUCCGACACGCAAUGUCUGGACACUUAGAACUGAGAAGGACAGGGAACAAAGCGAGGAUGGAAAGGGGAAUAGAAUUCAGGGAUUUUGAGAAGAGAAAGGCGUACAAUUGAUUUAGGUACGUUUUAAGAAAAGAUUGAGAAUUGGGUCCGUUUCCAUGAUUGCAGAGGGCUGCUAGCAUGAGCGCAAAGAUGGUGUCAGCGUUGUCCAUGACAAUGGAAGAAGUUUCAGAUUUGCUUAUCUUCCUUUUGCCGCACCUCUUCUUGCUCUUUUCUGCCUUCUCCAUUUCUUCUUCUGCCGCUCUUGCCCUCCUGAAUUGCAUAUCCUAAUUCCUUCAGAAACCGGUGAGACAGUUGAGCUCCAGACGAACAGGUGGAGCUCCUCGUUAGGUAUCGCACCACUUUCAUUCUUUCUAGGACCACCACUGGUAGAGCCUGAAAACAUGGAAUUGGGAGGCAGGUAACCAUUAAACAACUUACCCCUCAUAGUUCUCCCACCUCUUUUCUUCCAAUCUUCAACAUAUCCGCAUCAAAAUUUGAUGUUCUAGGCGUGGCUCCUUUCGCAGAUUGCAAAGAGUAAACAUCACUAAUAACUCCCUGGAAACUAUUUAUAUACCUGUGCUUGGGACUUGCGGCCUUGCUAGCAAGCAUGGUAUGAAAAUCUGUCUGAUUAAAACUUGAAGCCCUUGGUGUUGGCUCUCGGGAAGAUUGCACUGAAUAGAUCUCUACACCCGUAAGAUUCGAAGCUCUUGGGGUCAUGGACGUUAAUGAGUUUAGCCCGUGUGACUUGUUAAAGGAAGACAACACGGACGAGUUGCUAGAUCUCCUGACAACCACAUGGAGCUUACCAUCUUCGCCGAUCUCAGCAUCUGUUUGUAAUGGUUCUCGACCAUUUAGCGAAACGACAUCAGAAUCAACUCUGAAGGAGGUAAUGGAAGCGGCCGUCUCAGGGAAUUGUUCGGAGAUGAGUAACUUGGCUCCUCUAUAUUCGAACAUGUAGAGCAUAAGAGUAUACAAAAUUACACUUCGCAAAACCACAAUUUGAACCAUAAGACUCUCCGAGAAAUCUCCAUACAUGGCUUUCAAAAGAGGGAUUCCCAUGACUAGAGUGUUGGGAAGGGUGGAGAGAGAGAAGGAGUGAUCAUCCACUCAAGGCUGCCACGUUUGCUGAAAGCUUGCCAGAGAAAGAGAACAGCAAGAAUGCCUACUUUUUGGAGAGAAUCGGCCGCGAUGAAGCUAUAGUUCAUGGCGUAAGGGUUGUUGGAAGAAAUGAAAUGGAAAGAGAAUAAAGGAACAGCAAAAACUGCCACAGAACGGUUAACACCAGAGCAUUGAUCGAGGAUGAAGAUUUUCCACCAUCGGACUGAGCCAUAGGCUAGUAUCAUAGCAACAUAGAGAGGAACAAUCGCAGCGAGAACAUCGUAAAUAUCCCUACCUGUAAUCAUGGCUAAAGAAUAAUAAGAAUAAUAAGGGUGUUUUUGGAGAGGGAGAGAGAUAGAGGAGAUUGUGGGGGGCUGUCUUACAUCUCCACUGUGAAAAGGAGGCAAGGAUGAAGAAGCAGCAGUUAAUUUGCUCCUCUGGUUGAUAGAUUCGAUACUAUUUUAAUCUUCUGGA
RNAcentral lists this unclassified non-coding RNA (4205 nucleotides) under Hevea brasiliensis (rubber tree). The record is from RNAcentral. Lineage: Eukaryota; Viridiplantae; Streptophyta; Magnoliopsida; Malpighiales; Euphorbiaceae.